CCAAUAGCGUAUAUUAAAGUUGUUGCAGUUAAAAAGCUCGUAGUUGAAUUUCGGGAUUGACGUGAUGGUCAUGCCUUAAGGGGUAUGAACUGUUACUGUUGAUUUCUCACCUUCUGGAGAAACUUGAUGUCCUUUAUUGGGUGUCUUGCGGAUCCAGGACCUUUACCUUGAAAAAAUUAGAGUGUUUAAAGCAGGCAUUUUUGCUCGAAUACAUUAGCAUGGAAUAAUAGAAUAGGACGGCAUGGUUCUAUUUUGUUGGUUUCUAGGAUCACCGUAAUGAUUAAUAGGGAUAGUUGGGGGCAUUAGUAUUCAAUUGUCAGAGGUGAAAUUCUUGGAUUCAUUGAAGACUAACUACUGCGAAAGCAUUUGCCAAGGAUGUUUUCAUUAAUCAAGAACGAAAGUUAGGGGAUCGAAGACGAUCAGAUACCGUCGUAGUCUUAACCAUAAACUAUGCCGACUAGGAAUCAGACGAUGUUAAUUUUUUAAUGACUCGUUUGGCACCUUACG
This 507-nucleotide ribosomal RNA is filed under the name uncultured Glomeromycotina. RNAcentral's name for it is "partial small subunit ribosomal RNA". It matches the Rfam family "Eukaryotic small subunit ribosomal RNA", at positions 591 to 1092 of the family's 1831-position model. Lineage: Eukaryota; Fungi; Glomeromycota. The record is from RNAcentral.